Molecule: ribosomal RNA, 255 nt
Filed under: uncultured bacterium
Lineage: Bacteria
Description: partial 16S ribosomal RNA
Rfam family: Bacterial small subunit ribosomal RNA
Source: RNAcentral
GUCCACGCCGUAAACGAUGGAUACUAGCUGUUGGGAUUUAUCUCAGUGGCUAAGCGAAAGUGAUAAGUAUCCCACCUGGGGAGUACGUUCGCAAGAAUGAAACUCAAAGGAAUUGACGGGGGCCCGCACAAGCGGUGGAGCAUGUGGUUUAAUUCGAUGAUACGCGAGGAACCUUACCAAUGCUUAAAUGUAGUUUGACAGGUUUGGAAACAGAUCUUUCUUCGGACAAAUUACAAGGUGCUGCAUGGUUGUCGU